UGCCGUUUGGUGUAGAGGUUAUCAUGCAGGAUUGUCAUUCCUGCGACCCGGGUUCAAUUCCGGAACGGGCGCC
This 73-nucleotide transfer RNA is filed under the name Methanobacteriota archaeon. RNAcentral describes it as "Euryarchaeota archaeon (seawater metagenome) tRNA-Asp". It matches the Rfam family "tRNA". From Rfam's summary of the family: Transfer RNA (tRNA) molecules are approximately 80 nucleotides in length. The record is from RNAcentral. Lineage: Archaea; Methanobacteriati; Methanobacteriota.